Xenia sp. Carnegie-2017 is the source of this 233-nucleotide long non-coding RNA. RefSeq lists it as uncharacterized. The transcript has 3 exons. NCBI's taxonomy places the organism in Eukaryota, Metazoa, Cnidaria, Anthozoa, Malacalcyonacea, Xeniidae. The record is from RefSeq and is a predicted model, not a curated record.
CAACGCAGAGUUCAUGGGGAACACUACACCUGCUGUUGUUGCAAUGAGAGCAGCAUUAAAGUAAUCAGACCAUUGACGCUGAAAAUAUAUUGAUAUAAAUCUAGACUUCUCCAGCUAUUGCAUGUACCUGUUGUUAAUAUACAUGAUACUUGUCUAUCUUCUGUUUGUAGAUUUACUAAAUGUAAGUUGUGUCCGUGCAAGGUUUUCUUCUUAAAUAAAUAUACUUUUUGAGC